This is a long non-coding RNA of Carassius auratus (goldfish), 2730 nucleotides long. The record is from Ensembl. Lineage: Eukaryota; Metazoa; Chordata; Actinopteri; Cypriniformes; Cyprinidae.
CCUCAAAAUGUCUUGGACCUCCUGCUGUAGGAGGAGCGAGCUUCCUAACAGAUGCACUGGGUGGAGUGCCAUUCAGCUUUCAACCACCAGACCACAACUAGCAGCUGAUAAAGGCAGAAAUGGGUCAAGAUGAUGCUACCUGGUGCUUCAGCAGAACUUUUUACACCAGGGUUUCCUGAGGAGAAAUGGAUUAGGCAAUUACACAGCUGAGGCUGGGCUCUAUCUCCUAAGCCUGUUAGCUUUGCCUGUGCACAGGUUUCUGCAGAUAAGUGACCAUUCUUCUUUCUCUCACCUAGUGCUCUUUCAGACAGCUGUGGAGGUAAAAAAAAAAGCAAAUUGCUUGGCAGUGGGCAGAAACGAGUAAGUGCGUCUAUGCCGUCUAGAUUUGUCUGCAUGCCAACAGGAAGUGAAGUCUUAAUGGCGUCUCUCUGUUUAUCUUGUCCCCUGGCCUAUUGAGACCAAUUACCAUGACCAGCCGAGCCUGACAAGGAGAUUUCAUGCAUCAGGGGGCCAGGAAGUCAAAGGUUUCCUGUAUUUUGGGGUAAAGAAAUGAUUCGCCGCCACAAGAAACAGAAGAAAACAGGAGUAGGGAUGGAAUUGGAGACAAAGCAAGACAGUGGUCUUGUCUCUGCUUUUAUCCUUACUUAUUUCAGACAUGAGGUGCGCUUGGAAGAGCAGAGCAGGAAUGCCUACAUCUGGCUGAGAGGAAGCCCUGAGAGUUUAGAAGUAAGGUGAUUAUGUCUGUCUGACGACGACUAAAGCUUUGGCCUGUUCCCUGAUGGAGCACUGCAGGGGAAUCCAGCUUUGAUAAUCACACUGCAAACAGGAAUCAGACGGAAAGCUGUUCUGUCCCUCAAAGCCUGUUAGGCCAGACCACCAUGUGUGAGGACAAGACAAGCACAUCCAGGUCCAUCUAUCUCAUUCAAACACAUAUGGACACAUUUUAGUCAUCUGUUGAGUUUUCAAACAUUUAUGGGGCAGUUUGCUAACAAAGAAAUGAGGAGACUGAUAGUAAAUAAAUAAAUGUAAUAACUAACUGAAAUAAAAAAGUGUAGGUUAAAAUAUUAUUAAAACUGAAUAAUAAUUUAAAGCUAAAUAGAAAUGAUAAAAAUAUGUAUAUAAAUGUUACAAAUGCACAUAACAAAGUCAUUAAAACUUAAUAUGGAUAUGAAAAUGAAAUUCUAAUUAAAGGCCAUUCAGAAUAAUUUUUUAAUGAAUAAAUACUAUAAUAUUAUUUACACAAUACUAAAAAAAUGUAAAUGUAAAAUGUAAAUUUUGCAAUGUAAAAAAAAAGAAAAAGAGAAAAAGUAAAGAACCGAGAAGGUUCACAGUGGAAUGGGAGAGAACCACAGAUAUAUAUUUUGCAAAUCAGGCUUAAAAUCCUCUAGUGUGUGGCCCCCCCUUAGUAAGAGAAAAAUGCAGCUCUUCUGAGCUGUUAAAUGUCAUUUGAAUCAUGUUUGAUUACUGAUUCUCUCUCAUCAGUUCGUCCCAGAGCUCUGCCUCUCAUCUGAUGCCACUACUUCAAAACAUUUUGGGUGAUAAAAUAUUGAUUUUGGAAAUUCAAGGGAAAGCAAGGGGUGGAGGUGUUGUUUGCACUUCAUAACUCAACAUGAUGGACAAAUGAUUGCAUUUUUUUAUCUCCUCUCCCAUGAGUAGUGUGAAAAAUGGCUGUCUUCUAGGGGUGCAUUAGUUUCAUACUGUAGUGUUAUUUAUUUCCAUUUUGCCUGAAGAACUGUCAAAAUGGCACCUAACUAUUCAAAGAGUGCCAGGUGCUGUAAAUGAAUGAAGGCCUCCGUAAGGACAAAACUUCUGUGAUAUUUAGAGUAGCCCAAUAGGAAAGGUAUCUGACAGGAUGACCAUUAUCCGUAAGUUAACUUAUAACUUGCUAAGGACUGUUAAAAAAUAAAUAAAUAAAUGUUCUCCUGAAUGUGAAUGAAGAGGAGUCAGCUAUUAGUCUACCAAAAAAAAAAUUAAAUGCCAAUAAAAUACUGGGUAAAUUAAUAUCAUCUUGGCUGCCAUAUUGGUUUUUCUUUUCUGAAUUAAUUUUUUUAGAGAUCCAAUCCACAGUAUCUCAACCACAUACUGGAUCAGCUGAAAUGUACAAUCACACUCUCACUGACUCUAAUAUAAAAUGCUGAACCUGGCAACACACACUGUGCAAAAUAUCAACACACUCGGGCAUGUAAUGUGUGUUUGCAUAGUGCACUAGCAGUUUGCUGUCAGAUCCAUCUAAUGAUUUUUUCAUAGCUGUAAAGUAGCAAAUCAGAUUGUGAAGUAAAGAAGGCAGAGAGAGGGUGUCAGGCAUGGCAAGGGCAACUCUCAGAGUGAUUCGGAAAAGUGACGCCCAUAAAUCAUGCCAGACAUAUGCAGCAAAGUGGAUCUUAAGUCUGCAUCUACAGUGAGCCUCAAUUUAGAUGGAGAACUAUAGUGAACAAACAGAUGUGGAUUUCAUUUCAGGCAGCCCAGCACUGAGAGGGUUGAUAAGAAUGCAGUGCUUUUAAGAGCUUGGCUAUCAGAGAAUUUUAGACGCUACACUUCCCUACGGUAAAGUAAAUAAGACUCCGUCUGGCACAAGUUAGGUGGAGCAUUUUGUUAAUGGAAUCAAGCUGCUUCUAUUUUCGAACCAAAAUUACUGUGAAAUAGCACCAGUUCUUAACAAAAGUUCUGACAAGUGCCAUGUUGUCAUUUUAUAUAAUUUUUACAUUGCAGUUGUUUUGGGUUUCAUAAUGA